AAAGGAAUAGACGGGGGCCCGCACAAGCGGUGGAGCAUGUGGUUUAAUUCGAUGCAACGCGAAGAACCUUACCAGGGCUUGACAUCCCGCUGAAGACGCCAGAGAUGGCGUCGGCCUUCGGGACAGCGGUGACAGGUGGUGCAUGGUUGUCGUCAGCUCGUGUCGUGAGAUGUUGGGUUCAGUCCCGCAACGAGCGCAACCCUUGUCUCUAGUUGCCAGCAUUCAGUUGGGCACUCUAGAGAGACAGCCGGUGAAAGCCGGAGGAAGGUGGGGAUGAGGUCAAAUCAUCAUGCCCCUUAUGCCCUGGGCUACACACGUGCUACAAUGGCUGGUACAAAGGGUCGCGAAACCGCGAGGUGGAGCCAAUCCCAAAAAGCCAGUCUCAGUUCGGAUCGCAGGCUGCAACUCGCCUGCGUGAAGCUGGAAUCGCUAGUAAUCGCGGAUCAGCAUGCCGCGGUGAAUACGUUCCCGGGCCUUGUACACACCGCCCGU
This 492-nucleotide ribosomal RNA is filed under the name uncultured bacterium. Its description in RNAcentral is "bacterial SSU rRNA". It matches the Rfam family "Bacterial small subunit ribosomal RNA", at positions 903 to 1397 of the family's 1533-position model. The record is from RNAcentral.